Long non-coding RNA from Ficedula albicollis (Collared flycatcher), 1537 nucleotides. RefSeq lists it as uncharacterized. The transcript is spliced from 3 exons. The record is from RefSeq and is a predicted model, not a curated record. NCBI's taxonomy places the organism in Eukaryota, Metazoa, Chordata, Aves, Passeriformes, Muscicapidae.
UUCCCUGGAAAGCUGGAACAAUAGCAAAGACAGUGUUUGUCAGCUUUAAUAAAGUAAUGUGCUCCUUGGAGCUGACUGUGAGGCACCGCUUAGCCUGUGUGCCUUUCUGGGGUACCAUUCUCUCUGCUGUCAGGGAAAAGCCAGAAAUCACAUAUAAAGACAGAACAGCUAUCAAAGAUUGUUUGGGUGCAUUUACCUGAUGUUACUAAAGAAUUGUGCAUAAAUUUUUAUGCCAUCUAUACAUUCCAGAAAAACCCACCAAAGACAGUAACUGAUAAAUGCUGCUAUCAGCUGUUCUGUGCUGGAACAGAUUUGACAACAGCCAAAUUAACUCCAGCUAUGCAGAGCAUAUUCCUGCAUCAACAGCAUUCCAAAUGUCAACCCAGGAUUUGGAAAAAAGAAACUUGCACAUGAAGAUACUUAACCAGUCCUACAGAUCCAGAGGGAGUUUGGACAGGAAUGAGUGGAUGAAUCACCAGCACUCAAAGCUAUUGUGGAACUACUUCUGCUAAAUCAAAGAUGGCAUCAGGAAGAAAAAGAAUAUACAGCUGAGGUAAUCACACUGUGUUAGCAGAGAAGGUGAAGAAUUGGAGUUCCAGAGCCAAGCGUGUUUCUUGGGUCUGGCUGCAAAGAGAGGAGACUGAAUUCUCUGUCUACUCAAGAGGAAGCUCAGUGAAGGCAGGCAUCAAAGAAAGAGCCAGAGGCACACAAGGAAGUGCUCAGAGCUCACUGGGAGAAAAACUGAGGUGUUGUGUGAAGUAACAACGUGGAAAAUACUUGCCCCUCAUUUCACCUUUGGAAGGCACAUGAAUGAUGCAUGCAGGACAACAUCGUGUUCUCAGGACAGCAAGGAGCUGUGUCAGCUUCUUCUGAGCUCUCCUGGGUAAUCCUUGGCCCCUGCUUGCCAGCAUCCUGCUGUUCCACUCCUGGCCUUUCCUGAGCUGAAUGGAUUCCUCACUUCAGAAUGGGAAAUGAAUUUUCAUUCAUGUUUCUGCCAGGUUGAUAAGGCAAAAUAAUUAAUUCCUGUAGCUAAAUCAAGGUUAGAGUUUAUUAAAGCAUUUGGAUGGUAUUGUAUUGCCAGUACAGCAAGUAACUCCACACAAAAAAGCAAACAUGCUGGCUCAGCUGCAGUAAGGAUUUCUACAAAAUAAUGGCACACCAGCUUCUUGUAGUUAUUAUAACCCCACUUAUCAGUCUUCCUGUGAACUCAUUUUAUUUUCUCCAUGUUAGUCUUGCUCAUUCAAAAAUGAUGACGUCAUAUUAGUUAUUAAAUAAUGUCUUACUCAAGCACCUGACACUUCUUUUCUGCAGUCACUGGUUUUAGCCAAUUUUGUUGCAGGGAACAGGCCAAAAAGCUGAUCCUUUGGUUUAUCCAUAGGCAAAAGGGAACUACUAUUUCAAGCAGUAGGAAACAUGCAAAUUUCUUUGUUGAUAUUUGUAGAUCUGGAUUUCUGCAUUCAGCCAAGGUAUCUGACAGGAAACUUGUCUAGGACUAGGUGCAAAAUGUUCAAAAUUGAAAUGAAGAGAGUUCCUUCAC